This 465-nucleotide ribosomal RNA is filed under the name Vreelandella stevensii. RNAcentral describes it as "partial 16S ribosomal RNA". It matches the Rfam family "Bacterial small subunit ribosomal RNA", at positions 338 to 795 of the family's 1533-position model. The record is from RNAcentral. Lineage: Bacteria; Pseudomonadati; Pseudomonadota; Gammaproteobacteria; Oceanospirillales; Halomonadaceae.
CCUACGGGAGGCAGCAGUGGGGAAUAUUGGACAAUGGGGGGAACCCUGAUCCAGCCAUGCCGCGUGUGUGAAGAAGGCCCUCGGGUUGUAAAGCACUUUCAGUGAGGAAGAACGCCUGGUGGUUAAUACCCAUCAGGAAAGACAUCACUCACAGAAGAAGCACCGGCUAACUCCGUGCCAGCAGCCGCGGUAAUACGGAGGGUGCGAGCGUUAAUCGGAAUUACUGGGCGUAAAGCGCGCGUAGGUGGCUUGAUAAGCCGGUUGUGAAAGCCCCGGGCUCAACCUGGGAACGGCAUCCGGAACUGUCAAGCUAGAGUGCAGGAGAGGAAGGUAGAAUUCCCGGUGUAGCGGUGAAAUGCGUAGAGAUCGGGAGGAAUACCAGUGGCGAAGACGGCCUUCUGGACUGACACUGACACUGAGGUGCGAAAGCGUGGGUAGCAAACAGGAUUAGAUACCCGAGUAGUC